AAUCGCCGCUGCGAGCAGGGAAGGACAGCAGAGCAGAACUGGCUGCCUCCCUAAGAGUUCUCUGCUCGCCGGCGAGCACAGAAUGUCCACCCGCACCCUUGGGUUCAACUUCUGCAUAUCGAAGAUCUGAGCUUGUCAUCUGAUCCCUGUUUUGGGCCAAUGUUUUGAGCAGUCCCGCCAUGAGGCAUACAACAGGCAGCACUGCAGGUCUGUAGGCUGAGUCAAUUAAAAGCGUACCCAGGUGCCCAAUCUCUUGCCUCCAGACACAAGUCUGUUUCUCCCAUGUCACAGAAGAAACCUGUGAGUUUGUUCCGCCCAUGAAACUGUACCACUAAGCUAACUUCAGGAAUCCUAUACCACCAGAUAAAGCCAUUGCUGGUGUUUUGUGGCAGUGUUUUGAGAAGUAGUCUGAGGGCCCACCACUGUCCGGGCUUUGAUUCAAAGGACCCAUGAGACUAAAGUGGGGGCAAGAAGUCACUGGCGUGCUGUUGGUUGCUCGCCCUCGGUGGAGCCUGGUGUGCAGGGUCAGCGGGUACAAGUGCAGUGCCUCAGGGUGAGCCUCGGUACCAGCGUGUAAACUGGCAGUGACCAGGAACGCCGAUUUAUGAUUCCUUUUGAGUUCAGUUGCAGCAACCACUGCAGAUCACAAAAGGCUUUGUUUCUCAAGCAUGGGACAAAUGCUUUAUGCACUGUGAGUGCUAGCUUAUCAGUUCCCUGUAACAUGAUACUAUACAAUGCUGUAUAACAAUCUGUACCGCUCAGAGCUUACUCAAGUUCCUUGCACACAAAUUGUUUAUGAAGGUCCCAGCAAGAGAAAAUGUGGAAGAAAAUAUUCUAGGAAAAAACAUUUUGUUAUAGCGAUAAAUGUACCAAAAUAAAUGCCUAGUGAGACAAAUAUAUAAGUUUUUUUAUGCACAGCUCAUGAAACAGCUUGAAAGACCACUUUUUUUUUAAGAUGAUUUUAGUCAGCACAUGAUUUGUACAGUAAAACACUAAAAUAGGAGUGGAUAAUUAUGGGCAGAUAUGAAGGUGAUGAUGCCUUCCUAAAUACACUUUGAAAAGUUAAGAAGUGACAAUCAAUAUAAAACUUAUUUGAUAAGUAGUUUGAAAGAGGUAAUAAACACAACGUGGAUUUUUCUACUUUGGAAUAAUUGCAAAAAGCACAUGUUUAAAAGCAAAUAAAUCCUCGGUUCGUGCUUUGACCAUCACAGGCCAACAGUUAUGAGACAGAAUAUUUGACUUUCCUCGGAAUUAUUUACAGGACAGUUGAAUUUCCUGCUAGUUUAUUGGUGAUGACAUAAUGUGUAAUUCAUUGAAAGUUUUUUUGCUCUUCAAGAUGUUUAGGUGAUCUAAAAGGGUAACUUAGAUGUGAAAUUCUGAUGAAAGGGCAGGGAUUUUGAUAGGGAUUGGGGUUCUCUUUUUGCCUCGGAGAGGUAAUGGAGACGUGUUCUGAAUUAAAAGGGAGAUUUUAGCAGAGAUUACCAAACUGAAUGAAGCAAUACUGCAUAGUAUAUGAACUAGUAGAAAAUUACCACACCUCUGAGGAACUGUAAAAAAAGGCAGACCAAAGGUAUUUGAUUUAUUAACCAAAAAAGAAAGAAAAAAUGUAAUUUUGUCAUACAUCACCUCUGUUUUCUGUGUUUGAAUUGAAUAUGUUUAUUAUUAUCACAAGAAAGAAUAAUUUGGCUAGUAGUUGUGAAUACUUACAAGAUACUAAUUUACAAUAUUUAGCAAUGAUACAUGGAAAGUCUAAAAAUCAUGUACAUAAGUUAUUCUGAUGCUUUAUAAAAUGGUGAGGCCAUAUAAUCUGUAACUUUAAUCAGACAGCUUUAGAACAAAUACUUAAAGACUUGUAAAGAUCUCUUCUAAGCAGCAUUGUUAGAAGAUCUGGAAAAAAGUAAUUCUGAAGUCCCACUUUUUUGCAAAGGUCUGUUAUUACUAAUCUAUUCUGAUACAAUGUUGCUGUUUUUUCAGCAGAUGGUUCUAUUUCAUUCAGUUUUACAGCUUCCAAAAAAAUCAAAUUUCCACUUACAAGUCAGACUUGUUUGAAGUAGAAGUUACAUAUGUCACUGUAGGACCAAAGUCUGCUUUGUGUGCUACUGAGAUUGGAAUUUUUGCUUCCAUUUGAUGAAGACAUCAGUAGUUAUUUGCACAAAUAAAAAAGUGAGAUUUGGCUCCCAGAAUUUGCGAAAUAUAUCAAAAUCGAAUAAUAAAGUGGGGUUUCAAAACAGAUUUUCCCCCAAAAGAUGCCGUUUUCAGAUUAUGUGGAAUAUAUUCUGUGAGAAAAUCUGUUUACUCUCAUUCACCUGAUGGAACAGCUCUGUUGUAGUGUCACUGCUCUUGAAAAGUUCUGCCAUACGACGGUGGACAAAAGGCAGUGCAUCAUCUCUCAAGCUGCUUGCCCCAAGACAUUCUGUUCCACUGCCGCAGCAGCUGAAACAAUAAAAUCCACCAAAGCUGCCUUUCAUCUCGGGGAAGUACUGGCUAGUUUGUACAGAAUGCCAGCAGUGGCUCAGUGUUUCUUUUUCACCCUUUUCUUCCUAGAGAGUUGAAAAUAAUGAUAAUGAAUUAAUAUAACUGGAGGAACCUGUCAGAGGAUUAAAAAACGCAAUGCAGUAUCCCUAAUGAUCUGGAAUAGUUAAUUAAGUCCUCUUAUAAAUGAGUUCCAAAAAUAACUUACUUUCAGUAAGUUAUUCUGAGAAACAGUCAUUUUAGCAUACCUGAGCUGCAGUGCCUCUUAGAAAAGGGCCAAUUAUCUGGUGAUUGGCACUUAAAGGUGAACUAAUGAAGUUCUUAAUUAAAAAAUUUCCUAUUAUAAUCACCAGUAAGUAAUAGAAUACUGCAUAUAUAAAGCAGGUGUAAUAUUAGAAGAAUAUUUCCAUUUUGAAAAAAAAGGUUUUGAAAAUCAUCUCCUCCUUUGCUCACCAUACCAUGUCCAAAACAGGAAUGUCAGGGUUUUCACGGGUGUAGCUGGCAGUGUGCCACUAUUGCCUCUCAUUAGAGUGUCCUGCUCUGACUCUCCUGCAGUCAGAGCUGUUUUCCUCAUCUAACAGGUGGCAGAAUUUUUGCUGCUCUUAAUACCCAAAGCUGUUUAUGUAAUACAGAAAAAAUUAUUUGAGAUUUUAUAAGAGAAUAUAUUGGACUUUUUCACUAAGAAACUGGCUGCAGAGUUCCUUUAGCUGCCUGUCAUUGACAACUUUCCUGAAUUUUCACUUACUUCACAGUAAACACGAUAUUAUGAAUUCUUCCACAAGAUAAACUUGAAUUAAAUUUUGGGAAAAAUACUCUGGUUUGGCAGCUUGAGAUGUAUUGACAUACUACCAGAAUCUGAAUGAAAUUUCUCGGGCAGCGUAUCUCCCCAUUCAGAGGUAGAAGGACUCAAGGUCCUUCUGUCAACAUUUCUGCAGCUCGACAGAUGUAAAGAGCGUUGCUUGAAUGCUGCAUAACCAUGCUAACAGUGCAUCAGGCCCAGGAUAAAACAGCCUGUUAAGAUUAGCUUGAGCACAUUGUCACACUGAUCAUCUCUUUUUAGACAGAAAUAGGUAUACAUAUACUUCUGGUUGACCUCCAGCCAUUCACACUGGUGAUCACCCUGGUGAUCAGUGCUGUAUGUGAGGAAUGACAUACUGGGCCUGUGGGCUCCUUGCUCUUAAGUGCUCCAUAUAAACACUACUAAAUAUAUAUGCAGCUAUUCCUAUAGUUCUUAGUUCUGGUAAGACAAGACUUGUCAUUUUCAUAGGUGAUUUGACUUGUUUUUGAGGAACUAUGAAAUUGCACAACUUUACUUCGUCCUUUAUAUAGAAUUUUUGAAGACUCUCAGACCUGUGUUUAUGAACUACUAUGACAGAAAUAGAAUUUAGCCUAAGGUAGCUUUAUAUAUAUAGGUUCUUGACUGUAAUUGUCCUUAUAUGAUGAGAGUUUUUCUAAGCUUUUGUUGAACUUAAUUUUCGCUAACCAAUCUACUAAUCUUCAGAGAGUCAAAAGUAUAAAAUUAGCCUUAUACCAUCAUGGCUGUGUCAAAAUGACCAGUGUUUCCAUUUCCAUCAGACACUAGUGCAAGCUAAAAUUCAUAUUCACUGGCAGCUGAACAGUUUUUUCACUUGACUAAAUGAGUUUUCAGUGUUUGAAAUUUUUACUAUAUUAAUAAAAGCACUAAUUUUAAUUACCACCAAGGGAAACUGUCAAGUGUGACUGGCAAAAUCAUUCAUUUACAUUUUUUUUUGUUCAUCUUAAUCCACGGUAUUUAAAUGUAUUUUUCUCUAUCUGAAGUCUGUAAGUACUUCCAAGGGGAAAAAAAAAGUCUCCAGAUCACCAGAAAGCCUGUAGUACCAAAGGAGGUUUUGUUCUACAUGUAUCUAUUUUGAUUGCAAUUAAAAAGUUAAGUGGGGAUAUUGUAUUUACAGGUUUAAAGCACUUCUAUAUUUUCCUGUCUUUUUCUCACUUAAAAAAUUGAUAUUUUUACAAAUAAACAUUUCAGUUUUUUAAAUUUGUGUAAGUUUUAAAUACAAAACAAAUGUGAGAGCUAUUCUAAUGUUACAUUGAAACAAAUGUAGAUCAGAGAUGAGUUUGUUGUAAAGAAGUACAUAUACAAGGUUCAAAAACAGGUCCCUCUUAUCUAAUAUGACAUGUUUCCUGUGAAGCUAUAUUAACUGUAUGUUAAAGACUAUGAUCUCCUAAUUAACCAUUCUAGGGAGAAAGAAAGAGAUCUUUUAGGCUCAAUAAUCCUUGUAAUAUGUUCAUCAUUCAACAAAUUUGAAUCUAAAACUAUAGACUUUAAUUUAUUGGGAGUUAGCCAUCUAUAUGAUGGCUGCAAAACACCCAGAAAAAAUGUGGUCAUGGAUAAUAACCCAUGAUAACAGAGAGAAAUUAGCUAUCUAGUUAAUGAGGUUAAGCUACAAUAUCCUCUUCGUUAUCAUGAAAUAAACCACUGGGAUCUUGUGUGCAGAAAUGGCUGGGAUAUUUUUACAGAGUCUCAGAAAUUUGGAGAAGCAGGCUUCAGUGAAAAGAGUCAGAAAAUUGAACUGUUGGAAUGAAAAUCUAAAACGGAACUAUAGUCUCUUAUUGUAGUGGUAUAUAAUUUGAGAUCAUUCCUCACUUACUAAAUGGUUCUGUGGUUCAUCAUUGAUUAAGAACAUUUGAGUAGGUUAAAACUGGUGAAGUUUCAGGGGAAUAAGCAAACAGCAAGUGUUUUGGCCCAUUUGUUUCACUACAGAAAUCUUCCCAUACCAUAAAAUAUUUAUAACAGAGCUUUAAGUAAUAAAAGUAAUAAAAAGGAUUAUUUUCUUUCCAUUCCAUGGUUCCUAUUCUGUUCAGGUUUGCCAGUAGAAAUAACAUUAAUAACUUAAACAAUCAAACCAGGUUUUAACUGUGUCACGUUUAAUACUCUUCAUCUCAGAGAGUUGGAUUUUUCAAGAAAGAAUCUAGUAAGUAUGAAGCUGUUUUGACUUAAUUAGCAAAGUAGCGAGCUUAAUUAUGAGUGAUUCUGAGAAAGCAUUUUAUUGCUGAAAAGAAAAGCAACAAAUCAGUUGUAUCUUUCAAUGUCCCAUUGAACUUUAUGACAUCAUUUGUAGUAUAAACCACUGAUAUAAUCUGGCUUUGAUUUUGAGUCCUCGAGGAAGGGUGGUUGUGACAGUGCCCUUUGAAAUAACAUUGAAGCUUCGGCUCCCAUGUCAAUAUCAUGCUCUAAUCAGUGCAGUCUUUAUUGUUGCAGGGUCUUCCACCUUAUAAUUGACCCUGACAUAUGCUAUUCACUCUACCCCUUGGCUUCGGACAUAUAAUUUCUGUCAUGGUCAAUUAUUAGGUAAUAGAGCCAGCAACCACAGGGACCAUUGCUUAAAAUCAUCCUACCCAGUAAGCCCUGAAGUGACCAAAUUCAAAUAUAACUGGAGGGAAGAAGGGAUCUAGUCUUUGAUAAAACUAAUAUUCUUUUCACUUCUAUAUAGAAAAAUGUCAAUUUCCAUUGUCCUGUAUAUUACUGAGACAAAUGGUGACAGUCCUAUUUCUGAAACAGGUUAAGAGAAAGGACAAAAACCUUUACCAAACUCAACAUACUCUGAAAUAAGGAAAUUGUCUGUAUGAGCAUACAGUAUGCAUAAAAAUUAGAUUACACUACAUUUGAAAGGCAGAUGAGAGUUUAAGUGACAAGUGGGCAAGUGCUAAAAAUAAGGGCAUGUUACUUCCUUUCCAACACUGCUUUGUCUGUAUGCUUUCUUUAAUGUUGUUUAAGCCUUGAAGUAAAGAAAUACUUUUCGAGAGUCUGAAAGAUACUUCUGAUUACCAUAUUGAUAAGAACCGAUUUUGAACAAAAAGGUCUCUUCUUCUUGUCGCAUAGGUUCUAUAGUGCCUGAGAAAUUGGGCAAAGACAAAAACCAGGACACCUGCUCUCUGAUUUUCAUGUAAGCAUUAUGAUUUUCAAAAACAUAUGGUUUUGCAGUCAUUGUACUACUGCAAUAACAUUAAAAAAUCAUUACAACUUCAGGAUUAAGAGCUGAUAUGAGCAAAAGUUUACCACCCAUCUGUGGAGAUUGAAAAGGAGGAUUGUGAACCAGUGGUUCACUUCAGAGAUUCUCUGUCCGUAGUCAACUAUGCCACUAACCCAUAGGGAUAGCCUUCCCUGGGUUUUGCUGCAUGAACAUUGAUUUCAAUUUGCUAGUUGCCAUUGCCUGGUUUGGGUUGCUUAUUUUUGUUAGGGUUUUUUUUGGUUGCUUGGGUUGUGGUUUUUUUUAAAAGUAUUGAAGGGAAUUUAAACAAUCUAUAGUCUUUUCAAGUCACAAGUUAUUAUCUACAGGAAUCUUCCAUUGGUUUGUUCCACUGUUGAUGAUUUACUUAAUUCUCUUAUGUGUAAGAACACAGCUCAGAAAUAAUCCUUAAAAGACCUUUGCAAAUCUGCUGUUUUACAGAUUCAACGUGUUACAAACAAACAUAUUCCACCUGUUACAGCAAUCUGGCAUAUUACUUUCUUGAUACGUGAUGAUACAAUACCUCUCAGGUUUGCUGAGUAGCAAAGAGAAAUGAAACCCUUCUCCUGCAGAAAUUAUUGAGAACGUGCAUGAAACUGAAAAGAAACAGAGCUGACCAAUAAUAAAUUCUUAUGAAAAUUCCACUUGUAAGU
Long non-coding RNA from Corapipo altera (White-ruffed manakin), 7111 nucleotides. RefSeq lists it as uncharacterized. The transcript has 3 exons. The record is from RefSeq and is a predicted model, not a curated record. NCBI's taxonomy places the organism in Eukaryota, Metazoa, Chordata, Aves, Passeriformes, Pipridae.